Molecule: non-coding RNA, 3374 nt
Organism: Osmia lignaria (orchard mason bee)
Lineage: Eukaryota; Metazoa; Arthropoda; Insecta; Hymenoptera; Megachilidae
Source: RefSeq, a predicted model, not a curated record
AGGCUAAAUGAUUUCACGUGGAUAUGCCAAUACAUCUUCCACCAUAUGUUGCUUACCUUUUACUGUGUUGGCAUAUUCGUGAGAUGACGUUAGUUUAGAUUUGUCUUAACAACUAUCUACGCUGAUAGAAUAGGAUUUGUGGAGACAGGAAUACACAUGGUACGUGAUUUCGGUGAAAUCAAUUUAGGAUCCGGUGAUCAUGUAGUUGGUUCUUCCAGUAAAGUGGAUUAAUUACAAACAAUAUUCAAAUACAGUCAAGGAUAUUACUUGAUUUAAGUAUCAUAUGCUCAAAUACUGAAUUACGUGACCGAAAAAUAAUACACUUCGAGGUGCAAGAAGUGCACCUUCAACUACAGAGAUCCGCCAUUACAACUUUGUGCUACGUAAUAUCCACUCGACAAGUUCGGGAAUUCUCGGGAACGAGAAACGACUCUAGGCGGAAACAUCCGAAGUUAUAAUUUUGAAAAUAUACGAAAUUCAAAAUUAGAGCAUUAAAAUUUUUGCAAUUACAUUAAAUUUUGAUGAACAAAGUAUAAUAAAUGUUUAGACUUAAUUCUUCGCUUUAUUAAUUAUUUAAUAAAAUGAAAAGAUGAGCAAAUUUUUCUUUUAAGAAUUUAAGAUACAGAUGUAAUAAACUAUACAAAAAUCAGGAAUUUUUAUAUUUAAAGAAAUUAAAUUGAAUCUAAAACAAUAAGGUUUCAGUUAAUACUUUGUAAUAAAAUACACAUAAAAGAUUGGAUUGUGUUAUUACUAUAUUAACUUCACUUCAUUUCAAUAAAUAAAUGAAACCACUUUAAAGUUACAAUUACAGUUCUUUGUAUUUAUUUGUGACGUUUUUCUCGAUUUCACAUAAUGUAAUAUUUAGUAACUUUAUUUACAAAUUACCGAUCCAAUGUAUGGACCAAUAAACUUUAGUUUGCUUAGGAUUUGAAUUAUUUACAAAAAUUUUUGAAUUAUGAAACAAUCUCUUAAGUCCAGAAAUUUACCACAGACAGAAUCCGUUUUCACUGUCUGUAAUCAAUUAAGCAGCAAACACUAUUACCUUUGUUUCUUUAUUCUUAAAAAAUUGAAUUAAAAUCUUUUUACAAUUUUGUAAGAAACACUUUUCACCAAAUAUUGGUCAAGCAUUACUAUUCUUAAAAAUGAGUCUAACAUAAAUGCAAUUUUUCUUCGCGAAGAACAUCAUUUUCUUGAUACUGUUCUCAUUAUAUUUUACAUAAAUUUCAAUCCGUAAUAGCCUCUUUUUAAAAGCAACAACGUUGUCUGAAAGUGAUAUUUGAGAACAAAUGUCACUGUUGUUCUAUUCUUUUGGUAAUUAAUAACACCGAUACAUUUGUUGUUGGCAGUGCUUUUAGUAAUUACAUUCUUGGCAAGUAACUUCCAACGUCUUUGUCUUUUACAUAGCAUGAUUUGCACAAUUACAGACACAUUGUAUACGUUCAAAAGUAAAGUUUCAGAUUGAACGGGUAAUUAAAAACAUGAUCUGAACAUUACACUUUCGAUGUAUCGAGAAACGUUUGAACAAUGAAAAUAUCAAAAAUGAGACUUCUAACUAUACUGAAUACGAUAAUACAUACAUUACAUAUUCGGCUAAUUUUUUGUUCAUAAACGAAAUAGAAGUUGUAUAUCAUGGAUUUACAUUGAAUUUGCAGCACAGCUGCAAUAGAUUUUAUCUCAGUUUCAAUCAUGAUGUACUAUAAGACUGUUAAUUGCAUUAUACAAAGUUUGAGAACUCGUGAUAAUAAAUACAUAAAACAUUUUGUACUUGCAAUUUUUGUAAUCAACACUUAAUGUACAAUUACAUAAACUGCAUAAUAAAUUUUAACAAAUUACGUUCAUGAUUUUUGUAGGAUACUUCAAAUGAAACAAUCAACAUUCAGCAAUAAAAUUAGGAUAGCUUCAUUGUAAUUUUACAUUUGUUUGAGUAUAUGAUAAAAAUUUCUGCAGAAAGAUCGUGUGAAAAAUUUUGGAUAAGUAAAAAUACGUGUUAAGUACUUCCGAAUAUGAAAAUCAGUUUUUAUUAAAUAGAGUAUUAUCGUAAAAUAAGAUGCAGAUUUGACAAUAGUCCAUGAAUUCCGUAAUUCAAUAAAACUAUUUAAACGUAAUUUCAUACAUGUUAACAAAAUACAAAUAUACAAAAAUAUGUAUGUUAUUAAUUUUCAAUAUCGUGGUAAAUUUUUUAAAUGUUCUUACUCGGUUUGAAAAAUUCUCAUACCUUUUAAAUUAGGAAAAAUUGUAAUUUUAGACAGUCGUUGCACGUCUUUAAUAUAGUUUAAUUAUGAACCACGUAACGGAUCAAAAAAUGAAGAAAAAGAAAAACAAGAAUCUGUAUUAUUAUUAUUAUUCAUGUUAUAGAUCGAAUAUAAGUAUUAUGAUUGUACGAAAAAUGUAAUCACAAAAAUAACAAGUUAAUUGUAAAGCAAACACAUAUUGGCAGCAAUGUUGACAUUAAAUUUGUAAACGUGUUCUAUAUUUGUUUCGCCUUUCUAUAACUGAUGGAAUGUUCUUUCUUCUCUUCCAUGAAUAUUCACUCAUUAUACAUUUCUUCCCUUCUCCAAAUGCUUUUUUUACUAUCUAUCUGCCAAGGUUGCAUUGGAAUUGUUUUUAUUCUAACUUUCACUUUCGAACAUGAUAAUAACACUGUACCCUCACAUUUCUACAAAGUAUAUAUUAUAUUUAUUUUCUUAAUAUAUGCAAGACUUGAUGAGUACUUGCUUUCAUUAUCUCAUUUCGUACGUUCAGUUUCUUCAUACGAUCGCAUUAUCCAUAAUAAUAUAAGUAGAAUAUAAUAUAUGACAUUUUUUCUCUGUAUAUGUAACUGUACUCGUGGGUGCUGCAAUUUGCAACUUCUUGUUUUUGAAGGUUUUGACAAUAUUAUUUACCUAAAGGACUUUGCAAGCUUUAUAAUAAGAAAAAAUAAAUGGUCAGAAAAACAUUAUCUAAUUAAUUAAAUUAUAUUACUAUUUAUUAAUAAGCUACAUACUAAAAAUUCAAGAAAUUUAAAUAAUUGUAGUUAUUGAAGUAUUAUCAUAAGGAUACUGUAAUUUACAAAUAAAAACUUGCUGUCCACACUUAGGCAAAUAAUCUUCGCGUUACUACCGUGUUUAGAAACUAUGCAUAGUAAAAUAGUACUUUGCUUCCUCAUAGUCAAUAGUAAGAAUCUUCAUGUUCUUCAGUCUUAUAAGCAAUAAUUUUUUUGUUUUAAAUAGAAAGCUGUUCAUUUCUUGUCUGUAAAUGGCUCAUUUUCUUGUAAUUAUUUUCAAUCCUAUACCACAUUCCAUAUCUUCUGCACACUUAUAGCUUUUAGUUAACGUAUCUUGUAAAAUUUCUUACAAACAAGUCGAAAGAUACUCGAAAAAAAAAAAAAAAAAAAA